Molecule: ribosomal RNA, 502 nt
Filed under: uncultured bacterium
Lineage: Bacteria
Description: bacterial SSU rRNA
Rfam family: Bacterial small subunit ribosomal RNA
Source: RNAcentral
AUUGAACGCUGGCGGCGUGCCUAACACAUGCAAGUCGAGCGGCAGCGCGGGAGCAAUCCUGGCGGCGAGCGGCGGACGGGUGAGUAACGCUUGGGAAUCUGCCUGUUAGUGGGGGACAACCCGGGGAAACUCGGGCUAAUACCGCAUACGCACUACGGUGGAAAGCCGGGGACCGCAAGGCCUGGCGCUAACAGAUGAGCCCAAGUCGGAUUAGCUAGUUGGUAGGGUAACGGCCUACCAAGGCGACGAUCCGUAACUGGUCUGAGAGGACGACCAGUCACACCGGAACUGAGACACGGUCCGGACUCCUACGGGAGGCAGCAGUGGGGAAUAUUGGACAAUGGGGGAAACCCUGAUCCAGCGACGCCGCGUGGGUGAAGAAGGCCUGCGGGUUGUAAAGCCCUUUCAGUGGGGGAAGAAAAGCCUCGACCUAACACGUCGGGGUCUUGACGUAACCCAUAGAAGAAGCACCGGCUAACUCUGUGCCAGCCGCCGCCGUAAU